This 459-nucleotide ribosomal RNA is filed under the name uncultured bacterium. RNAcentral describes it as "partial 16S ribosomal RNA". It matches the Rfam family "Bacterial small subunit ribosomal RNA", at positions 338 to 795 of the family's 1533-position model. The record is from RNAcentral.
CCUACGGGAGGCAGCAGUGAGGAAUAUUGGUCAAUGGGCGGGAGCCUGAACCAGCCAAGCCGCGUGAGGGAAGAAGGUACAGCGUAUCGUAAACCUCUUUUGUCAGGGAACAAAGGCGGGGACUAGUCCCCGGAUGAGGGUACCUGAAGAAAAAGCAUCGGCUAACACCGUGCCAGCAGCCGCGGUAAUACGGAGGAUGCGAGCGUUAUCCGGAGUUAUUGGGUUAAAGGGGUGCGCAGGCGGCCUGUUAAGUCAGCGGUAAAAGCCCGGGGCUCAACCCCGGCGAGCCGUUGAAACUGGCGGGCUUGAGUUGGAGAGAAGUACGCGGAAGGCGCGGUGUAGCGGUGAAAUGCUUAGAUAUCGCGCAGAACCCCGAUUGCGAAGGCAGCGUACCGGCUCCACACUGACGCUGAGGCACGAAAGCGUGGGUAUCGAACAGGAUUAGAUACCCUGGUAGUC